This 1273-nucleotide long non-coding RNA is filed under the name Equus caballus (horse). RNAcentral describes it as "lncRNA (ENSECAG00000046241.1)". Lineage: Eukaryota; Metazoa; Chordata; Mammalia; Perissodactyla; Equidae. The record is from RNAcentral.
UUCUGUUUUUCAUAACGUUUUUGAUCCAUAUAUUUAGCCUGUGACCACGGGCCACACCCUGAGCCUUCUGGUAAACCUGAAGAGUGGUCCUUCUCAAUUUAUCUCCCAGCGAUGACCUUACACGCUCAUACUGUGAAUUUGGGAGGAGGUAAAAUUGACUUCUCCUCUUGGGCAGUUUUCCCAGCCACCUGGUGAGUAGACACCUGCAGUAUUGUUCACAACUUUUUUUUUUUUUACGACACCCUCUCUUCACUUUCUCUUCUCCCCUCUCCCACAGACUUCCCUCCCACUGGGUCCAGGGCAGAACCGAGACCUCUGUCCCUGGUGCUGCCCGACUGGCGACCGGUGACUUUAAGUAGGUUGUCUGACAUGCACAUUUCUUAUUUUGGUCCUCUUCUACUUCAGUGUCACUCACCUUUGACAAAGUGACUUUCUACUCAUUUAGGGCUCUGUCCGAAAUGCUUCCAUUUUGCCUUUUUUUACAUUUAGGCGAAUUUUGAAAUAUAUGAAAUUCUAUGCAACAUUUAUGUUGAGUUACCAAUGGAAGCCAAAAGUUUUCUUCCCAAACUGCCAAGAAUUAUACGGGCCAUAAAUGAGAUGGGGGUACCGUUUAAUUUAAGGGGGGGCGGGGUAGGGGUGGGACAGGAACAAGAACAAGAUUUGCCUAGACCUUUGUGGUAUCUUGGGGAUGUUUUUUAUUUUACUGUUGAUGCUUAAAUUUCAAAAUUCUGUGUAUUCAAAUUUGAUCGUGGCGAAUCUACUUCAAAAGAAAAAAAUAAUCUGACUUUGUGGAUACUAAAUGGAAGGUUUGCUGUUUUGAGCUAGUUGUUUCCAGUGGAGCAGUUUAUGAAAUAUGUUCUAUAAGAUGUACAUUUUUUCAUUGUAACAUAGAAAUUGUAAAUAAUUGAUUAAAGUGCUGCAUUUUGAUGAAUUUUUUCUAGCCAUUUUUAAAGAGAAAACUAGGAAUUGAGUAUUUUGUGUACGGUAUGUUUCCAUCUUCCCUCCCUGCCUUUGGCCCUCCCCCCACCACCUUCUGCCUUCCGCCCCCCUCCCUACCUUCCUCCCUCCCCCACCUCCCCACACCCCCCCCCCAGCCUUCCUCCCCUCCCCCUCCUUCUUCCUCCCUCCCCCCCUCCUUCCCUAUUUAAUUUUCAUUUGUCCUGAGGUUUUUGGAUUUGCCAACGAUCUGCUGGAGAUCAUGCCCCACGUCAUAGAGAAUAAAGCUGAUGAUUGUACCAGUCUUAAAUUAUUCAUGAUUCAAUAAAAUUUAUGC